This 99-nucleotide small nucleolar RNA is filed under the name Hucho hucho (huchen). RNAcentral describes it as "Small nucleolar RNA SNORD21 (ENSHHUG00000052446.1)". The record is from RNAcentral. Lineage: Eukaryota; Metazoa; Chordata; Actinopteri; Salmoniformes; Salmonidae.
UCUUGAUGAUGAUACGAAGUACGCUGAGCAAAAUGUAGUUGGUCCUUCAUUUGCAACGGCUGAUGUCCAAUGUCCUUUCAAGACGGGGCUGAGAGAAGC